ACGAAGGGGGCUAGCGUUGCUCGGAAUGACUGGGCGUAAAGGGCGCGUAGGCGGACUGCACAGUCAGGCGUGAAAUUCCUGGGCUUAACCUGGGGACUGCGUCUGAGACGUGUGAUCUAGAGUGAGGAAGAGGGUCGUGGAAUUUCCAGUGUAGAGGUGAAAUUCGUAGAUAUUGGAAAGAACACCGGUGGCGAAGGCGGCGACCUGGUCCUUUACUGACGCUGAGGCGCGAAAGCGUGGGGAGCAAACAGGAUUAGAUACCCUGGUAGUCCACGCUGUAAACGAUGUGUGCUUGAUGUUGGGGUGCUUAGCACUUCAGUGUCGGAGCUAACGCGGUAAGCACACCGCCUGGGGAGUACGGCCGCAAGGUUG
Molecule: ribosomal RNA, 372 nt
Filed under: uncultured bacterium
Lineage: Bacteria
Description: bacterial SSU rRNA
Rfam family: Bacterial small subunit ribosomal RNA
Source: RNAcentral